RNAcentral lists this ribosomal RNA (468 nucleotides) under uncultured bacterium. Its description in RNAcentral is "partial 16S ribosomal RNA". It matches the Rfam family "Bacterial small subunit ribosomal RNA", at positions 28 to 507 of the family's 1533-position model. The record is from RNAcentral.
GACGAACGCUGGCGGCGUGCUUAACACAUGCAAGUCGAACGGAAAGGCCCUGCUUUUGUGGGGUGCUCGAGUGGCGAACGGGUGAGUAACACGUGAGUAACCUGCCCUUGACUUUGGGAUAACUUCAGGAAACUGGGGCUAAUACCGGAUAGGAGCUCCUGCUGCAUGGUGGGGGUUGGAAAGUUUCGGCGGUUGGGGAUGGACUCGCGGCUUAUCAGCUUGUUGGUGGGGUAGUGGCUUACCAAGGCUUUGACGGGUAGCCGGCCUGAGAGGGUGACCGGCCACAUUGGGACUGAGAUACGGCCCAGACUCCUACGGGAGGCAGCAGUGGGGAAUAUUGCACAAUGGGCGGAAGCCUGAUGCAGCAACGCCGCGUGCGUGAUGACGGCCUUCGGGUUGUAAACCGCUUUCGCCUGUGACGAAGCGUGAGUGACGGUAAUGAGUAAAGAAGCACCGGCUAACUACGUG